Molecule: ribosomal RNA, 263 nt
Filed under: uncultured Staphylococcus sp.
Lineage: Bacteria; Bacillati; Bacillota; Bacilli; Caryophanales; Staphylococcaceae
Description: partial 16S ribosomal RNA
Rfam family: Bacterial small subunit ribosomal RNA
Source: RNAcentral
CGGACGGGUGAGUAACACGUGGAUAACCUACCUAUAAGACUGGGAUAACUUCGGGAAACCGGAGCUAAUACCGGAUAAUAUAUUGAACCGCAUGGUUCAAUAGUGAAAGACGGUUUUGCUGUCACUUAUAGAUGGAUCCGCGCCGCAUUAGCUAGUUGGUAAGGUAACGGCUUACCAAGGCAACGAUGCGUAGCCGACCUGAGAGGGUGAUCGGCCACACUGGAACUGAGACGCGGUCCAGACUCCUACGGGAGGCAGCAGAU